GCGGCCCCGGGGCCCCGCACGGCCCCAGGCAGGUGCGCCGCGACAGGGCAGCCGGCGGGCUUGCGCCCUCAGCCCGCUCCCGUCCCUGCUUCAUCGUGGCGGCAGGGCGCAGCGGCCCGGUUUCUGCCCCCGGCUCCUUGCUUCGGGCUGAGCUCCCGUGAGGCGGCGCAGGGUCCCCCAAGGCUAUCCUUGUGGAAGUUUCCUUCACUUGCGAUGGGAUCACCUCUGUUGUGGCUGAAGUCAAAGGGCACCUAACAUGAAUACAGUUAGGCAUACCCACAGUCUUUGAAGGUCUGCACACCUAAAGAAAGCAACAACCAAAUGCUCAUCAUGAGAUGCACCAUGGCAGAACCAGCAUGCAAAUAACUGUGCCUUUCUUCUGCAAAUGAAUGGGACAGAGUUAACAGAAAUACAGAAAGCUUUCACCAAAACUGUGCCACAACCUAUUUAUAUAGUUAUAAACAGCAGUGCUUGCUCAAUAACUUACAUCUGUGUAUAUUUGUGAAGUUAGCCCUUUGUUUAGAGGUAUAAGAACCUAUUCACUGUGUGGAAGAAUAUCUUUAAAAGUUGCCAGGUGAUAGAUUUAGUAAGCAUUUUGAAACAAAAUCUUUGCUCUGUGUACGUCUGCACAAUGGAUGAUGUCUCAGUCCUGCAUGCCACAAGAAGCACUGUGAAAUUCUGUGCCUUCUGCUCAGCUGAUUCUGGCUGCAGGAUGAAGGUACACCCUGGUGUGCAGCAAUUAAAGGCAAACACAAAAGCCUAAAUGCCACUUGUCAAAUUCCACAGAACCUCUGAAGCCUUAACCCUCCUCCACCCCCUUCCACCUCCCAGCCCCCCAAAUAAAUAAAUAAAUAAAUAAAUAAAAAUCUUGGGAAGGUCUGUAGCAAACCUAAACAAUAUAAUGCGCUCAUUAUUGUAAUUCAAAAGAGGGAUAUCAUGUCUGUGACUGGACAUUUAUGUGAGAUUUGACAUAAGUUGCUGUCUUCUGCAGUCAAUUGGUGUAACAAAUACCGGUUGCUAUAUCAGUCAUGCUGCAGAUGUCUCUUGGAAGGAAAGUUUGGUUUUUUCUUCACUAUGAACAAUCCUUCUCAGCAUCAGAAAUAACCUACACAUGUUUAAUUUACAGGAGACAUUUAGUUUGCAACUAACCGAUCAAUGCAACAUUUAGGAAUCAAUUCUGAUUUUCCUUCCCUGCUUUCUUAUUAUUUUUUCUGUACAGUAGAAACCAGCUGUAUUUCUUCAAAAGAAGCCAAAAAAAUACGAAGGAUUUUGAGACUGAUCAAGAAAUAAUGCUGAACUAGGGCUUGAUGGUGAAGUCUCUAGACUUGCAGGAGCUAUCUCAAUGAACAUGGGAUUCUGGAGCAGCCUACAGAGGGGAGAUUCUUGCUUAUAAAGGAUGGCUGUCACCAAAGCAUAGUGUAGCUGUCAUAGGAGAAUCAAGGACAACAAAACAGGCACAGAUGGCACUGAGACUAACGUGACUGGAGUUGAACAAGCCGUAUUCCUUCUACUGUAACUUGAAACAUCACACUUCAGGUCACUGCAAAUUCUGAAGAGCUAAAAAAUCUGAAGUCAUCUCUUCCCUCCCAAACAAUGGCAAAACUGUGAGUCAGAAAAAGAAGAAGGAGAGAAUGGUGAUGAAAUCUUGAGGUUUGAUCAAGUGCUUUAAUCAUUUAACUUCCUCUGCCUCCUUCCCCAAUACCCUACAUGGAAUAAUUGAAAGCCUGAAAACUCCAUUCUAAAUAUACACUCAGAGAUGCAAUCCCUUUCCCUCCCUGUUUCAUAAACCCCCUUGGCAGUACCUGAUUGUGAUUGCAUAUUGUUAGUAGAUUUUCCCUGUAUUCCUUCCUGUUUGAUUACAUGAGAAGUUUUCUCCAAGUUUGCGGCAGCAAUCUGGUCCUCGCUUGAGAGAUGUUGCCUCUCAGCCAGCACUGAAGCUGAGGGUUCCCAAGCUAACUGCUAACUACUAUGAGCAUUGCAUCAUUUUCAAAAUUUGCUAAGGAGAGAAACUGAUCAACCAUUGCAUGGGUAGGUAAAGCCCAUAAGAAAUUGAGACAAUCACCCUGUGAAGGAAUAUGAUAGCUGCUUUGGUGUCCCACCUCAGUUGCUGGCAGAUCUUGCUAAAGAUGCUGCUGUCUUCCCAAUUUAGCUUCUCAGCACAGAGAUUUGAUUAGAUAUCCUUUUUCACUACAUUUGUAGUACAAAAUAUAUAAGCAUAUUGCCAUUUCCUUUCCUUUUUUACUGCUGUUUUUUUUCCUGUGUGUGCGUGUGACAUUUUCCUUCAUUGUCCUUUUUCUGUCAAAGCAAUUGAGUACUUAAAUUAUAUAAUUAACCUUUUCACUUUUUAUAUACUACAAACCCAUGCUGAAAUAAAAUGAUCUAAGCACAAUCUUUAUCUGCAGGAGAGAAGAAAAAAGCAACCAAAAUAGUUAAAAACUUAAUGCAGCCUCACACUUGCUUAAACUGCCAGUGAGAGAGGGCAGAGAAAAGAAAACAAUUCAGUUCCAUUCCUGUUAUCUUGUGGGCUUAGAUCUUUAAGUGAAAACAAUCCAAUUAAUUGUCACAGCAUGAAGAAAACUACUGGGUCUGAUAAAGACAAGGCAGAACACUAAAGAAAAAAUAUACGCUUAUGGUCUUACUAUAAGCCAACAAAAGAUCUCAUGGUUUCCAUGCACUUACAGAACCUUCUU
Gallus gallus (chicken) is the source of this 2690-nucleotide long non-coding RNA. RefSeq lists it as uncharacterized. NCBI's taxonomy places the organism in Eukaryota, Metazoa, Chordata, Aves, Galliformes, Phasianidae. The record is from RefSeq and is a predicted model, not a curated record. The transcript is spliced from 3 exons.